Molecule: ribosomal RNA, 253 nt
Filed under: uncultured bacterium
Lineage: Bacteria
Description: partial 16S ribosomal RNA
Rfam family: Bacterial small subunit ribosomal RNA
Source: RNAcentral
UACGUAGGGUGCAAGCGUUAAUCGGAAUUACUGGGCGUAAAGCGUGCGCAGGCGGUUUUGUAAGACAGGCGUGAAAUCCCCGGGCCCAACCUGGGAAUUGCGCUUGUGACUGCAAAGCUGGAGUGCGGCAGAGGGGGAUGGAAUUCCGCGUGUAGCAGUGAAAUGCGUAGAUAUGCGGAGGAACACCGAUGGCGAAGGCAAUCCCCUGGGCCUGCACUGACGCUCAUGCACGAAAGCGUGGGGAGCAAACAGG